Molecule: ribosomal RNA, 357 nt
Filed under: Triticum aestivum (bread wheat)
Lineage: Eukaryota; Viridiplantae; Streptophyta; Magnoliopsida; Poales; Poaceae
Description: partial small subunit ribosomal RNA
Source: RNAcentral
AUGGCACUGCUCCUGAAAGAAAGACGGUUAUUGUACUACUGCACAACUCUUACAAAUGCAAGGAAUGGUUGUGUCCACUGCUUCAGGUACAAUUACCUCUCUUUUGAACCAUGCCAGAGUGUGCCCCUAAGCAGCAGACAUCGAUAUUUAGCAUUAGUUAUUGUCCUUGAGUCGCUUAAACAUUUGUUGGCAUAUGCGUCCGGGGUAAUAUUUAUCAUGGUGAAAGUUGUGGGCAUAUGCGUCCGGGGUUAUAUUUAUCAUGGUGAAAGCCUCAGCCGCAAGACUAACUUACAUAUAUGUAAUCUGCUUACUUCCUUUUAUGUGCUUCUGAUUUCAUCAAAUGUUCAGCAAUUGUAG